UGAAGAGGCGACUAGGGUUCCAAGGAUCUUUGAUUUUCCUUUUCUUGCUGUGAUAGAAGUCUCGAUUGAAGGUAGUUGUCGACAGAAGCUUUAGGGCAAUGAGGUGGAUUUCCAGCAGCCACCUUGUUUAUGGCUGUGAACUUGAGGACCUUGACGCGAGACGAUAUCUCGACGUCAGAUUUGGACCGGAUACGAUCCUUUCU
Molecule: long non-coding RNA, 203 nt
Organism: Zingiber officinale
Lineage: Eukaryota; Viridiplantae; Streptophyta; Magnoliopsida; Zingiberales; Zingiberaceae
Exons: 3
Source: RefSeq, a predicted model, not a curated record